GAGAUGGACAGCAUUUACACUGGGCUGCAGAAUCCCUCGGAGGAUGUCUACUCCUCAGUAAACGAGCUCCAAGGCAGGAGAACAGCAGCACAACAGGGUGACCCCACUGCUGUUAAAGCUCCUCCAUACAGACGGGCUACUCUGGUCCUGGCAGGGCUGUGUGCUCUCUUAGUGGCUGCCAUUAUAUUCAUCUCAGUCUACAAUUCUAGCUUGCAGUCCAAAUAUCUCGAACUCCAAUCCCAGUAUUCAUUACUGGAAAUGAACUGCAUGGACAUCUCUGCCACCAUUUCUGACUCACGCGUUAAGAACCUCGAACUCCAAUCCCAGUAUUCAGAACUGGAAAGGAACUACAGCA
This is a long non-coding RNA of Polyodon spathula (Mississippi paddlefish), 355 nucleotides long. RefSeq lists it as uncharacterized. NCBI's taxonomy places the organism in Eukaryota, Metazoa, Chordata, Actinopteri, Acipenseriformes, Polyodontidae. The record is from RefSeq and is a predicted model, not a curated record. The transcript is spliced from 4 exons.